GGGCCCGCACAAGUGGUGGAGCAUGUGGUUUAAUUCGAAGCAACGCGCAGAACCUUACCAACCCUUGACAUAGAUAUCGCAGAUGCCAGAGAUGGCGUCCUUCAGUUCGGCUGGAUAUCAUACAGGUGCUGCAUGGCUGUCGUCAGCUCGUGUCGUGAGAUGUUGGUUAAGUCCCGCAACGAGCGCAACCCUCGUCUUUAGUUACCAUCAGGUUUGGCUGGGUACUCUAGAGAGACUGCCGGUGAUAAACCGGAGGAAGGUGGGGAUGACGUCAAGUCCUCAUGGCCCUUAUGGGUUGGGCUACACACGUGCUACAAUGGCGGUGACAGUGAGCAGCGACGGGGCGACCCUGAGCUAA
This 358-nucleotide ribosomal RNA is filed under the name uncultured bacterium. Its description in RNAcentral is "bacterial SSU rRNA". It matches the Rfam family "Bacterial small subunit ribosomal RNA", at positions 917 to 1271 of the family's 1533-position model. The record is from RNAcentral.